CUUUCGGAGGUGAGCGAGGCGCCGGGUUGCGUCUUUUUACCCAUCGUUGGGCCGCUAAAGGCCGGGCUACCUUCUUCCUGGGCCCGUGGGAGGGCAUUAUGAGGCACCCUCCUCUGAGGAAGGAGCAGUUCGGAGGAAACAGUUUACAAGAGCCAGAUGGAAUAUAUUGUCAUCUACAAUUAUGAAAGUCUGUUUUAGAAGUAUACAGAACAAUGAAUGUAUCUUCCAAUGUGAAGCAGGAUCAAGCACAGCACAGAGAGUCAACUGAACUACCUGACUUUGCAGUAUAUGUGAUGGAUAGGCAAUGCCUGAGUUGUUUCUUGAUGCUUAUAUAAGAUUAAAGGUAAGGCAUGGUAAGUGAUACUGUACCUUGAAAUUUUAGGUCUAUUUUUUCAUAAUUCAUGUAUUUAUAGCUUUGAUAUUUUUCUGAUAUGGCAACGUUAGAGUUCUUUUAAAAAAUAAGCUUCACUAAAGUUGAUAGAAUUUAUGGGUAAUCCCUGACUUAUGACUAUUUCUUGAUUAUUUUAAUUAAAAAUGGUGAAGAAAGUAACUUACAACUGGUCUUUGCACUUACAACCCGUCACGGGGUCCCCAUGAUCACGAUUGCGACACUUUGCAGUUUUGCAUAUAUUUACAACAGUUGCAGCA
Molecule: long non-coding RNA, 648 nt
Organism: Ahaetulla prasina
Lineage: Eukaryota; Metazoa; Chordata; Lepidosauria; Squamata; Colubridae
Exons: 3
Source: RefSeq, a predicted model, not a curated record